RNAcentral lists this transfer RNA (87 nucleotides) under Pantoea sp. Its description in RNAcentral is "tRNA-Leu". It matches the Rfam family "tRNA". Rfam says of the family: Transfer RNA (tRNA) molecules are approximately 80 nucleotides in length. Their secondary structure includes four short double-helical elements and three loops (D, anti-codon, and T loops). Further hydrogen bonds mediate the characteristic L-shaped molecular structure. tRNAs have two regions of fundamental functional importance: the anti-codon, which is responsible for specific mRNA codon recognition, and the 3' end, to which the tRNAs corresponding amino acid is attached (by aminoacyl-tRNA synthetases). tRNAs cope with the degeneracy of the genetic code in two manners: having more than one tRNA (with a specific anti-codon) for a particular amino acid; and 'wobble' base-pairing, i.e. permitting non-standard base-pairing at the 3rd anti-codon position. Lineage: Bacteria; Pseudomonadati; Pseudomonadota; Gammaproteobacteria; Enterobacterales; Erwiniaceae. The record is from RNAcentral.
GCGAAGGUGGCGGAAUUGGUAGACGCGCUAGGUUCAGGUGUUAGUGUCUUAACGGACGUGAGGGUUCAAGUCCCUCUCUUCGCACCA